UGGGGAAUAUUGCACAAUGGGCGCAAGCCUGAUGCAGCCAUGCCGCGUGUGUGAAGAACGCCUUCGGGUUGUAAAGCACUUUCAGCGGGGAGGAAGGCGAUAAGGUUAAUAACCUCAUCGAUUGACGUUACCCGCAGAAGAAGCACCGGCUAACUCCGUGCCAGCAGCCGCGGUAAUACGGAGGGUGCAAGCGUUAAUCGGAAUUACUGGGCGUAAAGCGCACGCAGGCGGUCUGUCAAGUCGGAUGUGAAAUCCCCGGGCUCAACCUGGGAACUGCAUUCGAAACUGGCAGGCUAGAGUCUUGUAGAGGGGGGUAGAAUUCCAGGUGUAGCGGUGAAAUGCGUAGAGAUCUGGAGGAAUACCGGUGGCGAAGGCGGCCCCCUGGACGAAGACUGACGCUCAGGUGCGAAAGAGUGGGGAGCAAACAGG
Molecule: ribosomal RNA, 429 nt
Filed under: Chloroflexota bacterium
Lineage: Bacteria; Bacillati; Chloroflexota
Description: Chloroflexi bacterium partial 16S ribosomal RNA
Rfam family: Bacterial small subunit ribosomal RNA
Source: RNAcentral